RNAcentral lists this ribosomal RNA (900 nucleotides) under Amanita aff. flavoconia Penn State Mushroom Culture Collection 121. RNAcentral's name for it is "LSU rRNA". It matches the Rfam family "Eukaryotic large subunit ribosomal RNA", at positions 76 to 963 of the family's 3401-position model. The record is from RNAcentral. Lineage: Eukaryota; Fungi; Basidiomycota; Agaricomycetes; Agaricales; Amanitaceae.
UCCCUUAGUAACUGCGAGUGAAGAGGGAAAAGCUCAAAUUUAAAAUCUGGCAGUGUUUCACUGUCCGAGUUGUAACCUAGAGAAGUGUAACCUGUGCUGGACCGUGUAUAAGUCUCCUGGAAUGGAGCAUCAUAGAGGGUGAGAAUCCCGUCUUUGACAUGGACUACCAGUGCAUUGUGGUUGCGCUCUCAACGAGUCGAGUUGUUUGGGAAUGCAGCUCUAAAUGGGUGGUAAAUUCCAUCUAAAGCUAAAUAUUGGCGAGAGACCGAUAGCGAACAAGUACCGUGAGGGAAAGAUGAAAAGAACUUUGGAAAGAGAGUUAAACAGUAUGUGAAAUUGUUGAAAGGGAAACGUUUGAAGUCAGUCGCGUUGGUUGGGGAUCAGCCUGACAUUGUUGGGUGUACUUCCUGGUUGACGGGCCAACAUCAGUUUUGACUGCCAGAAAAAGGCCAAAGGAAUGUGGCACCUUUGGGUGUGUUAUAGCCCUUGGUCGUAUAUGGUGGUUGGGACUGAGGAAAGCAGCGUGCCGAAAGGCCGGGUUUCGACCACGUUCACGCUGAGGAUGUUGGCAUAAUGGCUUUAAGCGACCCGUCUUGAAACACGGACCAAGGAGUCUAACAUGCGUGCGAGUGUUUGGGUGGAAAACCCUUACGCGUAAUGAAAGUGAAAGUUGAGAUCCCUGUCGCGGGGAGCAUCGACGCCCGGACCAGAACUUUUGGGACGGAUCUGCGGUAGAGCAUGUAUGUUGGGACCCGAAAGAUGGUGAACUAUGCCUGAAUAGGGUGAAGCCAGAGGAAACUCUGGUGGAGGCUCGUAGCGAUUCUGACGUGCAAAUCGAUCGUCAAAUUUGGGUAUAGGGGCGAAAGACUAAUCGAACCAUCUAGUAGCUGGUUCCUGCCG